This 714-nucleotide long non-coding RNA is filed under the name Cricetulus griseus (Chinese hamster). Its description in RNAcentral is "lncRNA (ENSCGRG00015008147.2)". Lineage: Eukaryota; Metazoa; Chordata; Mammalia; Rodentia; Cricetidae. The record is from RNAcentral.
UAAAUUUCUCAGCUCUGUUUUUGACUAGGCCAUAUGCUGGGAAUUGUGUCCUGAGACAACAGAAAUCCUGGGUGCAGGUGGAAUAGUGUUGCCAUCCUCUGGACCCUUGUACCUCCAGCUUGUCUGUCUGCAGUGGGCAGGCCCUUGAGGUCUACCUCAAACUCUGUGGCUGGAAAAAUGACCCAGUCUAUCUGAGCAGUGGUGAACUCCCCAGAUUGGUCUGGUCACAUCAACUAAAAUAGGACAAAAGUAGGAGACACCAAUGACCAGAUGCAUGAAGAACAAAGAAGGAGGAAAGCAGUCCUGAAAAUAGAAAUCACACCAAAAAAUAGAUGAUGAGUUGAUGAUGCCCCGAGGCCUUUGUUCAGGAACAUGCUGGCACUGUAAAGAGGAACACGACAGUACCACAUUCUUCUGUGAAGUGUGAGCGGCUUUUUCCUAAAGAAUUCUCCCUAGAGAAGGCCUUGUGGGUUGUGGCUAGCUCUGCUUUCCGUUUUUAUCCAGACGUGUUCUUUAAGGCAAGUAUUACUCUCUUUCAAGGACUGCUCUAUCAUCACAUUAACAAUAAGAUAAACAAACUUGACAAAAAUCCAUGGAAAACACUAACCAUGGCCAUUGCUUAUUUCUGGUCCCAGGUAUUCCGUUUGUGCUCACAGUUAAAAAGCAGUCACGGCAGCUGUGUGCGUUCUGUAUCACUUGUUCCCCGUAAAUAAA